Molecule: long non-coding RNA, 1269 nt
Organism: Oncorhynchus tshawytscha (Chinook salmon)
Lineage: Eukaryota; Metazoa; Chordata; Actinopteri; Salmoniformes; Salmonidae
Source: Ensembl
AGCGCUUGUUUACGGAGAACAAACGGAAGACCGAGUGGACUACCUGUGCUAGUUAGCCAUCUGCGUCUCCGAACACGAACCAUUGAAGUUUGAAAAAUGGGGGUAAAGAAGAAUACCGAAGUUUUGAUACUUGAAAAAUGGUUUGUUAUCCGGGUGGCCCACCAAAUCGAUGACUAGGGGGAUCGGAGUGAUCAAGGCUUAAUCAAGACAUGGACUGACUGCCUGUUCCAUUCCCUCCCCAUGAAGUAGGAAGACAGCUAUACCCCAUUCUACUGGACAUUGAAGUGGAGACAGCUGCUUUGUCAUCAAGAUGGCGCCGUUGAUUUGGGAGCUAAUUGGAUUUUUGAAAAGCUGACUGGAUUUUUCAGGAUUUUAUUUUACUGGAUAAGAUGCAUCAAUUGGAAUUACAUCAAACUUUGACAUGGACUCUUGUGCUUUGGAUGUGCUGGCAAUUCUUUGGACUCAAUUGUUUGAAUAUUGUAAUGGUUUCCUUUACUGAGUUCAGUUACACUACCUUUUCUACUUCUGUGAUUUCCUAAUAGGAUGUUAUUUAUGUUAAAUAAAACAUUGCAAUUUUCACUUCUGACUUUCUUUCAUUGAUCAAUAUGCUACCCAAGAAUGUUACAGGACUAUUUGUCUUAUCGCUAAAUGUGAAAAUUCUCUCCAACUGAAUCAAUUUUACUCAAAUGUAAUCCAGUUUCUGGUAUUUUCUUGGGCUUCCGAUUUACUCCUGUUUACUGGAAGGUAUGAUACGUUUGCCUUGUACAAUCUAAAUUUACAUUUAAUAGUGCUAGCUAAAUUAGGCCUACUAACUUUAAAUAAGAUCUGGGGAAUUGGAGGGUAAACGCAAGUAAUACUUUACACAACUUUUUAUUUUGUGAACUUUUACACCUAUUACGCUAAAGUUUUUUUGCUCAACUGUUUACGCUACUCGUCUCCAUUACGAGCAAUACUUAACAAUGUAGCAACUUCUUAAAACUAUUUAUAUCCCGGGUUAAUUUAAUUGACCAGUUUAUUACUUCCUACACUUUUGUAGGACUGUUCUGUAUUCACAAUCCGACUCGUAAUUGGCGCAAACAUUUAUUUUUUAAGUAAGUCAAAUGAAAGGGUAUGGCUUCUAGUGAUCAACGCAUUCCAUGGGGAAUGAAGGGGCUGGCUGAUCCAUACAGUAAUACUCUGCAUUUCUACAUAGCUCUCUCUACAUAAUACACAGUUGAAACAGCUUUUGGCAAAAACUGAAAUGGUGGCCAAGGCUCUGCCUCUAAAAUG